GCUAACGAGGGGCCAGCGGCGGCGGUAAUACGGAGGUGGCGAGCGUGGUGCGGAGUUAUUGGGCGUAAAGAGCCCGCAGGCGGUUCAGGAAGUUGCAGGGGAAAUCUCCCGGCUCAACUGGGAGGGUGCCUGGAAAACUGCUGGACUUGAGGCAGGGAGAGGGAUGUGGAAUUCCCGGUGUAGUGGUGAAAUGCGUAGAUAUCGGGAGGAACACCAGUGGCGAAGGCGGCAUCCUGGCCCUGUCCUGACGCUCAGGGGCGAAAGCGUGGGGAGCAAACCGGAUUAGAUACCCGGGUAGUC
RNAcentral lists this ribosomal RNA (300 nucleotides) under uncultured Bacillus sp. RNAcentral describes it as "bacterial SSU rRNA". It matches the Rfam family "Bacterial small subunit ribosomal RNA", at positions 496 to 795 of the family's 1533-position model. The record is from RNAcentral. Lineage: Bacteria; Bacillati; Bacillota; Bacilli; Caryophanales; Bacillaceae.